RNAcentral lists this ribosomal RNA (485 nucleotides) under uncultured bacterium. RNAcentral describes it as "partial 16S ribosomal RNA". It matches the Rfam family "Bacterial small subunit ribosomal RNA", at positions 28 to 507 of the family's 1533-position model. The record is from RNAcentral.
GAUGAACGCUGGCGGCGUGCCUAAUACAUGCAAGUCGAACGCUGGAAAUCUAGCUUGCUAGAUUGAAGGAGUGGCGAACGGGUGAGUAAUACAUAAGCAACCUACCCACGAAGACUGGGAUAAUCUCUGGAAACGGGGACUAAUACCGGAUAGGUAAUCGGAAGGCAUCUUCUGAUUAUUAAAGGUUAAAAACACUGGUGGAUGGGCUUAUGGCGCAUUAGUUAGUUGGUGAGGUAACGGCCACCAAGACGAUGAUGCGUAGCCGGCCUGAGAGGGUGAACGGCCACAUUGGGACUGAGACACGGCCCAGACUCCUACGGGAGGCAGCAGUAGGGAAUUUUCGGCAAUGGGGGAAACCCUGACCGAGCAACGCCGCGUGAGUGAUGACGGCCUUCGGGUUGUAAAGCUCUGUUGUAAGGGAAGAACGGUAGAUAGAGAAUAUCUAAAUGACGGUACCUUACCAGAAAGCCACGGCUAACUACGUG